GGAAGGAAAGACAGCAGGAGAGAAGGCACCUUGCAGAAAACAACAUGACUCCUGUGAAGAUUUCAGUCCUGACCCUCCUGAUUCUGGGUGUUUUUUGUCAAUGUAUAGCAGCACUUUAUCCCAGCCGUCCAAAAGAAUGCUGCUAUGAUUAUAAGAGAGGCGGACCUCUGCCUGUGAAACUGAUAAGGAGUUACUACAGAACUCCCAGUGACUGUAGCUUAGAGGCUGUGGUGUUUGUAAUGAAGAACGGGAAAAACAUCUGCACUAACCCUAGAGUAUUGUGGGUGAAAAAGACAAUUUCAAUCUUGGCCAGAAAGAAAUAAAGAAUGAUUGAUAAGAACCAGAGAUGUAAUCCCUGGCACGGAGGAAGACCUUUGCAUGGUAUCUUUUUCACGGCUACGUUUUGCAUGCCCAAUUGAGAUGGCUCUAGAAAUGUUUUAAUUGCCAUGGUCUCGCAAAAAAAGCUAUCUGAAAAUUGUAGUUUUGCAAACUGCUAAGAAGUAUCUAGCUUUCCUGUGACUACUGAGUUCUCAGAAUUCCUCUGUUGGGAAUAAUUCAGGUGCAAAACUGCUUUACAUCCUCCCCAUUUCCCGCACUGCCAGUACCGCAUCACGGCCUUUCAAAGUGUAACCAGUUCUUCAUAAAAUCAGAACAAUUUCUUCCGUCAGGCCUAAUUCUUGCUGCUAAUGUGUUUUUGGAGGUGAUUUACAUUUGUUUACAUUUGAGGUUUUUUAAACUGAAUUUUAAAACGGUUGUAACCUGCUAUGAAUUCUUGUUUAACUGAGAAAGCUGGAAUAUAAGCUUAAACAAUCAAUAUACAAUAAAUAAAAUAAAUGUGAUUAAUUGA
Molecule: long non-coding RNA, 847 nt
Organism: Eublepharis macularius
Lineage: Eukaryota; Metazoa; Chordata; Lepidosauria; Squamata; Eublepharidae
Exons: 3
Source: RefSeq, a predicted model, not a curated record